Molecule: long non-coding RNA, 397 nt
Organism: Solanum pennellii
Lineage: Eukaryota; Viridiplantae; Streptophyta; Magnoliopsida; Solanales; Solanaceae
Exons: 2
Source: RefSeq, a predicted model, not a curated record
AUAUUUUAUCUUAUAUUUAAAUAUCUAGGUGGCAUUUGAGAGGUUCUAUGAAGUGAAGCUUGGACAUUAGUAUUCAUUCAAGCAAAGUUGGGGAUGUACUCAAUAGAUUAGAGGACAUCACUAUGGUUCCGGCCAUUGAGAUUCUAGAAGGCCAUUGAAGAAGACUUGUAUUCUCAUUCUCCAAGUUCGAUAGGUCCUCACUUUCCGAGGAUGAUGUCAAUAUCUAGCUAUUGAUGUUGUUUAGUCUUAUAGACAAUUUAGUUCAUUCUCUUUCAUUCGAAGACAAUUGUUGUAUAAGACUAUAUGUGACUUUUGUUGUAAUAAAGUAUGGGCUAUGCCCAAAUGUUGUACGCAUUCUAGAUGGUUUAAUAUGAGACUUAUCUUAGACUUCCUAUGA